GAGCCAAGAUCACCCCCCUGCACUCCAGCCUGGGCGACAGAGCAAGACUCCAUCUCACAAGACAAAACAAAACAAAACAAACAAAAAAACCCCUAGGUCUUGUGGCAUGCACUAGCGGUACCAGCUACUCAGGGGCUGAGUCAGGAGGAUCACCUAAGCCCAAGGAAUGGAGGUUCCAUCAUGAUCUUGCCACUGUACUCCAGCCUGGGUGACAGAGCAAAAUCCUGUCUCAAAGAACCAACAAACAAAAAGAAAAAAAAAUACUCUUGCUUCCCAGAGUUUGGGGUGACUUUUUUUUUUUAAGACAGGGUCUCACUGUGUCACCUAGGCUGGAGUGCAGUGGUGCGAUCAUGGCUCACUGCAGCCUUGACCUCCCAGGCUCAGGUGAUUCUUCAAGAGUUUGGGGUGACUGAUUUUAUCUGGGGGUGACUGUGAAGCAGGAAUGCUUCUUGGAAGGAUCUUACUCAGCAGAGAAGGAAACUGCAGGGCUGAAGAGGCAAACGGGACACAUUUGGGAAGGGCCACAAAUGUGUCCCUUGGGAAAAAGUGGACAGCUGCAUGGAAAAAUUCUCCUCAAAAAGAAUAGGAGGCUGGGCGCGGUGGCUCACACCUGUAAUUCUAGCACUUUGAGAGGCCGAGGCGGGUGGAUCACUU
This 654-nucleotide long non-coding RNA is filed under the name Homo sapiens (human). Its description in RNAcentral is "non-protein coding lnc-GATAD2A-1:1". The record is from RNAcentral. Lineage: Eukaryota; Metazoa; Chordata; Mammalia; Primates; Hominidae.